AACACUGAACACUUAACAGUUCACACUACACUAUCAAUGGCGGCAACAAUUUUCCCGCGAUAAUCUCUUCAGAUUAAUCGUCUUCUUCAUCUUUAACGCCGCUUGUUCUUACGAUUUCUCUGGAAUCUUGCCAUGGUGAUUGAUGAUCCUAUGUAUGAUAGUUCAGGCAAUGUUCUUUUCCCAUGAUGUGGUGGAAUGAAGCCAUCAGUUCAAGCCUGAUUAUCUCUGAUCCCAAUAGAUACCCCGGUAAAAGCAUAGAGUGCUAGAGGAUCUUCGAGAGUUCAAGGUGAUGGAUGCCUUGGUGGAGGCAUCUGAUAUGAUCAGAUCUGUCCUAUCUUUUCUUAUCAAUGGAGAAGGCGUACAAAUUUUGCAGAGAUGCUGGUGGUUUACAACUUCAUGCCCCUGAGGCUUCUUUCUCCCUUUAAAUUCAAUUAUAAGAUUUUGGUAUUUGUUUAAAUUUUAGGUAUAGUGAUAUAUGUAUAGGUUCCGUCAUGAGUUCAUUCAUACAAUGGAGCCUAGGCACUAGUUAUUGAGGGCAUGGCUGCAAUUUGAGCAUUGCUUUGUCAGUAUUAUAUGGAAGAUGGAUUAUUAACGAACACUUUUUUUUUAAAAAAAAAAUCUUUUAAGCGAGCAAUAUAUUAACUAACAAUUUUAUUUUAUUAUUUUUUUUUAUUUGGAAAAUGUUUUAGGUGCUUAGGGUACCAAAGGUUUUAUAAAAGAGGCUUUUGUAAUGAAUCUCCCUUCUCUCAAGUUUUGUUAAGGAUCCAUGGUGCAACAAGGAUUUACCCUUAUUCUAGGCCUCUAGGGCAUGUAAGCCAAAUAUGUAACAAAUGUUCUCCCUCCUUUUCCAAUUAAAGUUCUUGGUUCUUUUGGUCUUAAGUAUUUAUCGGAGAAAAUGUGAUGGGAUUUGGUUUAUAAUGUGAUGAGAAACUAUGGUUUUAUUGAGUAAAACUCAAUUAAAAGGAAAUUA
Molecule: long non-coding RNA, 970 nt
Organism: Chenopodium quinoa (quinoa)
Lineage: Eukaryota; Viridiplantae; Streptophyta; Magnoliopsida; Caryophyllales; Amaranthaceae
Exons: 3
Source: RefSeq, a predicted model, not a curated record